Molecule: non-coding RNA, 505 nt
Organism: Oxyura jamaicensis (ruddy duck)
Lineage: Eukaryota; Metazoa; Chordata; Aves; Anseriformes; Anatidae
Source: the annotation of a RefSeq genome assembly
CAAGGCCACCAUGAACAUCACCAAGGCCACCGAGCGCGACGCCAAGCCCCCCGCCCUCUACGUCUUCCCCCCUCCCCCGGAGCAGCUCAGCGCCCACGAGACCGCCACCGUCACCUGCUUGGCCAAGGGCUUCAACCCCCCGGACCUCUUCAUCCGCUGGCUGCGCAACGGCGAGCCCUUGCCGGCCUCCGACUACGUCACCAUGCCGCCCGCCGCCGAAUCGCAGCCGGCGCGCUCCUACUUCACCUACAGCGCCCUCAGCGUGGCCACCGACGACUGGGGGGCCGGCAACGUCUUCACCUGCUUGGUGGGCCACGAGCGGCUGCCCUUGCAGGUGGCCCAGAAGUCAGUGGACAAGUCCUCGGGUAAACCCACCUCGGUCAACGUCUCCCUGGUGCUCUCCGACACCGCCAGCUCCUGUUAUUAAUUAAAAAAAAAUCGUCGUGUCCCCCCCCCCCCAACUCAUCCCUCCGUCGGUUUCGCCUCAUCGUGUCCGAGACGCCCC